Molecule: ribosomal RNA, 497 nt
Filed under: uncultured bacterium
Lineage: Bacteria
Description: partial 16S ribosomal RNA
Rfam family: Bacterial small subunit ribosomal RNA
Source: RNAcentral
GAUGAACGCUGGCGGCGUGCCUAAUACAUGCAAGUCGAGCGAACAGACGAGGAGCUUGCUCCUCUGACGUUAGCGGCGGUCGGGUGAGUAACACGUGGAUAACCUACCUAUAAGACUGGGAUAACUUCGGGAAACCGGAGCUAAUACCGGAUAAUAUAUUGAACCGCAUGGUUCAAUAGUGAAAGACGGUUUUGCUGUCACUUAUAGAUGGAUCCGCGCCGCAUUAGCUAGUUGGUAAGGUAACGGCUUACCAAGGCAACGAUGCGUAGCCGACCUGAGAGGGUGAUCGGCCACACUGGAACUGAGACACGGUCCAGACUCCUACGGGAGGCAGCAGUAGGGAAUCUUCCGCAAUGGGCGAAAGCCUGACGGAGCAACGCCGCGUGAGUGAUGAAGGUCUUCGGAUCGUAAAACUCUGUUAUUAGGGAAGAACAAAUGUGUAAGUAACUAUGCACGUCUUGACGGUACCUAAUCAGAAAGCCACGGCUAACUACGUG